AAUCCUAUCCAACUAUGCCUCAUCUAUCUACUCCUUAAUAUUUGCCAAAAAAUCAUUUUCUUGUUCAUCUACAGGAGUGCGCUGCUCUCAUUGUACACUUUCUUUUCGCUUGGAGGGUCAACUUCUACUACCACUGCACUGUCUCGUUCUCCGAUGGCAUAAAGACUUGCUUGGCUCGAAGAUUCCUCAGGUGUCGUUGCUCUUGGU
Molecule: unclassified non-coding RNA, 207 nt
Filed under: Hevea brasiliensis (rubber tree)
Lineage: Eukaryota; Viridiplantae; Streptophyta; Magnoliopsida; Malpighiales; Euphorbiaceae
Source: RNAcentral